UGUAAAAAUAUUCUUAAAUAUAAAUUGAGCAAAAUUUGUAUAGUCUUGGAAACGAUUAAAAUCUGCUGAAAAUAACAGAUUUCCCUAGAAACGACAAAAUAAAAACAACCACCCAUCCAACAGACACAAAAUUUCUCCUGCUCGUUAAUCCCAGUGUUGUCAGUUACUGUAACCAUAAUUCAACCAAUUACCGUCUAACUCAAUCUCGAGCCCCGCCGCCGGCGAGCUAAAGCGACCAUCAUCAGCUGUCUGGUGGCGAUUCAGUUCUCGACCGCCGAACCGUCGACAGCAGCUGGCGCGUUCUCGAAAGGCGUUUUCCACUCCUGUAAAAUGGUGACGAUUCAAGUGGCAUCAUCGGUUGCACUGCCAAAGAAGCCAGCCGCCCCCAACAACAAUGUGACGCAAAUAUCAUCCCGUUCGGAUGGUAAACGCCCCAGCUGCGGAAUUUGGCAAGGUUUGCGGGCAAGCUUCGAGCGGUACCAGACAUUCACCAGUUUGGCUUGGCCCUACCGAUAAGGAUUCGGCCGUUGCUGCGUGUGGUUCGUUCAGCUUGCGCGGAGAGUGAUUUGCCAUAUUUUAUCAGUCAAAUCGAUGCGAUGCAAUGGUGAAAACAAUGAAGAAGAGCAAUAAAUUUCGAUUCCGAUAAAGAAA
Long non-coding RNA from Aedes albopictus (Asian tiger mosquito), 651 nucleotides. RefSeq lists it as uncharacterized. NCBI's taxonomy places the organism in Eukaryota, Metazoa, Arthropoda, Insecta, Diptera, Culicidae. The record is from RefSeq and is a predicted model, not a curated record. The transcript has 2 exons.